Molecule: ribosomal RNA, 449 nt
Filed under: uncultured bacterium
Lineage: Bacteria
Description: partial 16S ribosomal RNA
Rfam family: Bacterial small subunit ribosomal RNA
Source: RNAcentral
AACGAACGCUGGCGGCAGGCUUAACACAUGCAAGUCGAACGAGAUCUUCGGAUCUAGUGGCAGACGGGUGAGGAACACGUGGGAACAUCCCUUUCAGUUCGGAAUAACGUUGGGAAACUAACGCUAAUACCGGAUACGUCCUUCGGGAGAAAGAUUUAUCGCUGAAAGAUUGGCCCGCGUCUGAUUAGCUAGUUGGUGAGGUAACGGCUAACCAAGGCUACGAUCAGUAGCUGAUCUGAGAGGAUGAUCAGCGACAUUGGGACUGAGACACGGCCCAAACUCCUACGGGAGGCAGCAGUGGGGAAUAUUGGACAAUGGGCGCAAGCCUGAUCCAGCCAUGCCGCGUGAGUGAUGACGGCCUUCGGGUUGUAAAGCUCUUUUGUCCGGGAAGAUAAUGACUGUACCGGAAGAAUAAGCCCCGGCAAACUUCGUGCCAGCAGCCGCCGUAA